CAUGACCCAGAUGAAGAGGAAUUCUGCAGAACGACCACCAGACUGUCCUGCCCGACUACGCAAGGAUCCAGCCGCUCUCCGAGGCUUUAGACGAUCUCUACAAGGAGUUCAACGCCCUCAAAGCUCAUCUGGGCGAUUUGACCGAGAAGUUUAACGCCGUGGAAACGUUCAUCGACGAGGUCAAGGCCGAACGGGCCUCGGCUCCGCCCCAGGCCCCGGCCCAGGCCCCGGCCCAGGCCCCGCCCCCAGCCAAUGGUCCCAUCUCCAGACAGGGAGGGCGGAGACUGGUGAAGAAGAAGGCCACGCCCACCACAUCUUAAACAGCUGAUCCUGUGUUCUCUGUCUUUUCUGAUAUCGGCUUUUUUACUCUUUCCUGUCAGUGCUGGCACUGUAACUCCUCCUCCUCCUCAUCAUCAUUAUUAUCAUCAUCUUCAUCCUUCAUCCACACUUAUGUGAAUAGUUUGAUAAAUUAACAUUUCAGAGAUUUUGGUGCAAACUGGUUCAUAUGAAACCCUAUAGACAUGCAAAUGGACUCUGAUACUGAUUCCUGACUCUACUGUGACCCUCAGUCCAGGUUUCAUUAGCAUUAAAUUAUAAAUAAUCUGACACCACUGAGACUAAAAUCUGCAUAUCUCAACAUUUUAUUAAACAUUAUCUUAUAUUGUGAUGUGACACUGAGUAGCAAAACAGAAAAUAUAUGAUAAAAGAAAAAAAAUAUUUAUACUGUUGGGAGAAAACAUGAGAAACUUAUUCAGAAUAUUGAGUUAAUACUUCAAAAUAAGGAGAAACAUUGUCACAUUACGGAUAUAUAUUCUCCAAAUAUUGACUUAGUAUCUCAAAAUAACCAGAUAUCUUCUAAAAAAAUUACUAAUAAGUAAUAAGUGAUUAUUUUAACUUGUGGCAGAAAUGGGCUUCCAUACAUAUGAAUCACAUUUUUUCUCCAAACUAAGUCGGGACAUAAAAAGCCAGAAAUAAAGCUGAAGAAAGAGAGGUAACUUGUUUUUGCGCCAAAAAAAUAAGCUCAUUUUAUAGAAUUUUCUUCAAUAUUUGAUGCAUCAGUUCAGACUUUAACUCCACUUAUUGGCUCAUUUGCUCAUUUUUAAUUAUUUUUGCAUUUUUGUGUGUUUUUGUGGACAGAGUUCUCUAAAAAAGUAUCACUUUUAUUAAAGUAUUCAUAUUAGUAUGGACAGUAAAGUACAACACAAACAAAAAACAUGCACUGAAAUCUGUAACAUAUACUGAAAAACGGUAAAGUCUCCCUGUAAUUAAAAGGCCAUUAACUGUAAAGAACCAAGAAGGUUUCCAGCAGAUAGAAUCCUAGAAAAACAAACUAAUUUGACCAGUAUUUUUUGUGAUAAUAUAACCUAAACAGGUACAAGCCCAGCAGUUGUUUUCCAAAAACUAAUGGUAGAUGUGUUAUCUCUUAGAAACUUCAUGGUAAUUAAUUCCUAAUUACCUUUUCUCUGGCUGAUAAAAUGUAGUGUGACAAUUCUGCUCUGAAAUACAGAUAGUUUUAACAAAAAGGAGGAAUUCCAGUGUCAUUAUAACCCCAGGAGCCUUAAAUGUUACCGCAUUUACCUUUUCUACAGACUGUAAAGUGAAGCGUGUGUUCUACAGGUCAUUUAUAGUUCAGAAAGUUCCACCAUUUGGUCAAAUAUUCAGUCAAAAUGACACCGUGUGAGCAGACAAACUCAUAUGUGUGACUAUUGAAUAUGUGUCCAUAUAAUGUGUGCAUACAUGUCCGGUUGUUGCAGGUUUUUCAGCAGAUUCUAAACAUGUCUACACUGCAAAAAUCUACAUCUGACCAAGUGUAUUUUUCUCAUUUCUAGUCCAAAUAUCUCAUCACACUUAAAAUAAGACAGAAUCACACUGUAAAAAAAAAAAA
Molecule: long non-coding RNA, 1885 nt
Organism: Sphaeramia orbicularis (orbiculate cardinalfish)
Lineage: Eukaryota; Metazoa; Chordata; Actinopteri; Kurtiformes; Apogonidae
Exons: 2
Source: RefSeq, a predicted model, not a curated record